UGCAGUCGAACGAUGAACCUCCUUCGGGAGGGGAUUAGUGGCGAACGGGUGAGUAACACGUGGGCAAUCUGCCCUGCACUCUGGGACAAGCCCUGGAAACGGGGUCUAAUACCGGAUACUGAUCAUCUUGGGCAUCCUUGGUGAUCGAAAGCUCCGGCGGUGCAGGAUGAGCCCGCGGCCUAUCAGCUUGUUGGUGAGGUAACGGCUCACCAAGGCGACGACGGGUAGCCGGCCUGAGAGGGCGACCGGCCACACUGGGACUGAGACACGGCCCAGACUCCUACGGGAGGCAGCAGUGGGGAAUAUUGCACAAUGGGCGCAAGCCUGAUGCAGCGACGCCGCGUGAGGGAUGACGGCCUUCGGGUUGUAAACCUCUUUCAGCAGGGAAGAAGCGCAAGUGACGGUACCUGCAGAAGAAGCGCCGGCUAACUACGUGCCAGCAGCCGCGGUAAUACGUAGGGCGCGAGCGUUGUCCGGAAUUAUUGGGCGUAAAGAGCUCGUAGGCGGCUUGUCGCGUCGGUUGUGAAAGCCCGGGGCUUAACCCCGGGUCUGCAGUCGAUACGGGCAGGCUAGAGUUCGGUAGGGGAGAUCGGAAUUCCUGGUGUAGCGGUGAAAUGCGCAGAUAUCAGGAGGAACACCGGUGGCGAAGGCGGAUCUCUGGGCCGAUACUGACGCUGAGGAGCGAAAGCGUGGGGAGCGAACAGGAUUAGAUACCCUGGUAGUCCACGCCGUAAACGGUGGGCACUAGGUGUGGGCGACAUUCCACGUCGUCCGUGCCGCAGCUAACGCAUUAAGUGCCACGCCUGGGGAGUACGGCCGCCAGGCUAAAACUCAAAAGGAAUUG
RNAcentral lists this ribosomal RNA (844 nucleotides) under Streptomyces cyaneus. Its description in RNAcentral is "bacterial SSU rRNA". It matches the Rfam family "Bacterial small subunit ribosomal RNA", at positions 56 to 912 of the family's 1533-position model. The record is from RNAcentral. Lineage: Bacteria; Bacillati; Actinomycetota; Actinomycetes; Kitasatosporales; Streptomycetaceae.